UACAGGGGGGGCAAGCGUUGUUCGGAAUUACCGGGCGUAAAGGGUUCGUAGGUGGCCAGCUAAGUCAGACGUGAAAUCCCUCAGCUUAACUGGGGAACUGCGUCUGAUACUGGAUGGCUUGAGUGUAGGAGAGGAAUGCGGAAUUCCAGGUGUAGCGGUGAAAUGCGUAGAUAUCUGGAGGAACACCGGUGGCGAAGGCGGCAUUCUGGACUACAACUGACACUGAGGAACGAAAGCCAGGGGAGCAAACGGG
RNAcentral lists this ribosomal RNA (253 nucleotides) under uncultured bacterium. RNAcentral's name for it is "partial 16S ribosomal RNA". It matches the Rfam family "Bacterial small subunit ribosomal RNA", at positions 524 to 776 of the family's 1533-position model. The record is from RNAcentral.